UGGGGAAUAUUGGACAAUGGGCGCAAGCCUGAUCCAGCCAUGCCGCGUGAGUGAUGAAGGCCCUAGGGUUGUAAAGCUCUUUCACCGGUGAAGAUAAUGACGGUAACCGGAGAAGAAGCCCCGGCUAACUUCGUGCCAGCAGCCGCGGUAAUACGAAGGGGGCUAGCGUUGUUCGGAAUUACUGGGCGUAAAGCGCACGUAGGCGGACAUUUAAGUCAGGGGUGAAAUCCCGGGGCUCAACCCCGGAACUGCCUUUGAUACUGGGUGUCUAGAGUUCGAGAGAGGUGAGUGGAAUUCCGAGUGUAGAGGUGAAAUUCGUAGAUAUUCGGAGGAACACCAGUGGCGAAGGCGGCUCACUGGCUCGAUACUGACGCUGAGGUGCGAAAGCGUGGGGAGCAAAACAGGAUUAGAUACCCUGGUAGUCCACGCCGUAAACGAUGGAAGCCAGCUGUCGGCAAGUUUACUUGUCGGUGGCGCAGCUAACGCAUUAAGCUUCCCGCCUGGGGAGUACGGUCGCAGAUUAAAACUUAAAUAAUUGACGGGGUCAUAGCUGUUUCCUG
Molecule: ribosomal RNA, 560 nt
Filed under: uncultured bacterium
Lineage: Bacteria
Description: partial 16S ribosomal RNA
Rfam family: Bacterial small subunit ribosomal RNA
Source: RNAcentral